GACGAACGCUGGCGGCGUGCUUAACACAUGCAAGUCGAACGGAAAGGCCCUGCUUUUGUGGGGUGCUCGAGUGGCGAACGGGUGAGUAACACGUGAGUAACCUGCCCUUGACUUUGGGACAACUUCAGGAAACUGGGGCUAAUACCGGAUAGGAGCUCCUGCUGCAUGGUGGGGGUUGGAAAGUUUCGGCGGUUGGGGAUGGACUCGCGGCUUAUCAGCUUGUUGGUGGGGUAGUGGCUUACCAAGGCUUUGACGGGUAGCCGGCCUGAGAGGGUGACCGGCCACAUUGGGACUGAGAUACGGCCCAGACUCCUACGGGAGGCAGCAGUGGGGAAUAUUGCACAAUGGGCGGAAGCCUGACGCAGCAACGCCGCGUGCGGGAUGACGGCCUUCGGGUUGUAAACCGCUUUCGCCUGUGACGAAGCGUGAGUGACGGUAAUGGGUAAAGAAGCACCGGCUAACUACGUG
This 468-nucleotide ribosomal RNA is filed under the name uncultured bacterium. RNAcentral describes it as "partial 16S ribosomal RNA". It matches the Rfam family "Bacterial small subunit ribosomal RNA", at positions 28 to 507 of the family's 1533-position model. The record is from RNAcentral.